Molecule: transfer RNA, 66 nt
Filed under: Aquarius paludum
Lineage: Eukaryota; Metazoa; Arthropoda; Insecta; Hemiptera; Gerridae
Description: tRNA-Glu
Source: RNAcentral
AUUUAUAUAGUUUAAUAAAAACGUUUUAUUUUCAAUAAAAAGAAGAAAAAUUUUUUUCUAUAAAUA